GACGAACGCUGGCGGCGUGCUUAACACAUGCAAGUCGUACGGUAAGGCCCUUUCGGGGGUACACGAGUGGCGAACGGGUGAGUAACACGUGAGUAACCUGCCCACAACUUUGGGAUAACGCUAGGAAACUGGUGCUAAUACUGGAUAUGUGCUCCUGCUGCAUGGUGGGGGUUGGAAAGCUCCGGCGGUUGUGGAUGGACUCGCGGCCUAUCAGCUUGUUGGUGGGGUAGUGGCCUACCAAGGCGGCGACGGGUAGCCGGCCUGAGAGGGUGACCGGCCACAGUGGGACUGAGAUACGGCCCAGACUCCUACGGGAGGCAGCAGUGGGGAAUAUUGCACAAUGGGCGCAAGCCUGAUGCAGCAACGCCGCGGGCGGGAUGACGGCCUUCGGGUUGUAAACCGCGUUCAGCAGGGACGAAGCUUUUUGUGACGGUACGUGCAGAAGAAGCACCGGCUAACUACGUG
Molecule: ribosomal RNA, 465 nt
Filed under: uncultured bacterium
Lineage: Bacteria
Description: partial 16S ribosomal RNA
Rfam family: Bacterial small subunit ribosomal RNA
Source: RNAcentral